Molecule: ribosomal RNA, 465 nt
Filed under: Vreelandella stevensii
Lineage: Bacteria; Pseudomonadati; Pseudomonadota; Gammaproteobacteria; Oceanospirillales; Halomonadaceae
Description: partial 16S ribosomal RNA
Rfam family: Bacterial small subunit ribosomal RNA
Source: RNAcentral
CCUACGGGCGGCUGCAGUGGGGAAUAUUGGACAAUGGGCGAAAGCCUGAUCCAGCCAUGCCGCGUGUGUGAAGAAGGCCUUCGGGUUGUAAAGCACUUUCAGUGGGGAAGAAAGCCUUGGGGCUAAUACCCUCGAGGAAGGACAUCACCCACAGAAGAAGCACCGGCUAACUCCGUGCCAGCAGCCGCGGUAAUACGGAGGGUGCGAGCGUUAAUCGGAAUUACUGGGCGGAAAGCGCGCGUAGGCGGUCUGAUAAGCCGGUUGUGAAAGCCCCGGGCUCAACCUGGGAACGGCAUCCGGAACUGUCAGGCUAGAGUGCAGGAGAGGAAGGUAGAAUUCCCGGUGUAGCGGUGAAAUGCGUAGAGAUCGGGAGGAAUACCAGUGGCGAAGGCGGCCUUCUGGACUGACACUGACGCUGAGGUGCGAAAGCGUGGGUAGCAAACAGGAUUAGAUACCCCGGUAGUC